This 398-nucleotide ribosomal RNA is filed under the name uncultured bacterium. RNAcentral's name for it is "bacterial SSU rRNA". It matches the Rfam family "Bacterial small subunit ribosomal RNA", at positions 358 to 772 of the family's 1533-position model. The record is from RNAcentral.
GGAAUAUUGCACAAUGGACGCAAGUCUGAUGCAGCAACGCCGCGUGGAGGAUGACGGUCUUUGGAUUGUAAACUCCUUUUCUCAGGGAAGAGCAUGGACGGUACCUGAGGAAUAAGUCACGGCUAACUACGUGCCAGCAGCCGCGGUAAUACGUAGGUGGCAAGCGUUAUCCGGAAUUACUGGGCGUAAAGCGCACGCAGGCGGUCUCUUAAGUUUGACGUGAAAGCUCCCGGCUUAACUGGGAGAGGUCGUUGGAUACUGGGAGACUUGAGGCAAUGAGAGGGGUGCAGAAUUCCAGGUGUAGUGGUGGAAUGCGUAGAUAUCUGGAGGAAUACCAGUGGCGAAAGCGGCACCCUAGCGUUGUACUGACGCUCAUGUGCGAAAGCGUGGGGAGCGAA